AGUGCCCUGGGUUGAAGGAGUCUUGGUGAGUUAAACACCCAUUAUUGUCUUUGGCUGUAAAUGAACUCAAGGUCACUAGGAAGUGAGUGGAAAGUCAGAUGAACUCUGUCUCUCAGAGGCAGGCCAAGGGCAAAGAAGGCACAGAAGCCACUUCAAAACUUUCAGGCCUUUUGGGAGGAAAGGGUGGGUAUGGAAUGAGGCUGACUUUCAAAGAUGAAGCUGUGACAGAUCAGAAAUCUGUAUUUUUGAGCCAGACUAUGUCUGUGUCUAGGUUUGCCUUUGUCUUUUUGUUGUCAGAAUUUCAUUAAACUAAUUAUUCAUUC
Homo sapiens (human) is the source of this 323-nucleotide long non-coding RNA. Ensembl annotates it as long intergenic non-protein coding RNA 2928. NCBI's taxonomy places the organism in Eukaryota, Metazoa, Chordata, Mammalia, Primates, Hominidae. The record is from Ensembl.